This 1575-nucleotide long non-coding RNA is filed under the name Cyanistes caeruleus (blue tit). RNAcentral describes it as "lncRNA (ENSCCEG00000005996.1)". The record is from RNAcentral. Lineage: Eukaryota; Metazoa; Chordata; Aves; Passeriformes; Paridae.
CCUUGUUACAGAUGUUUCACCUGAGGAGGUGGCCAUGGGCAGGGACACCACCUUCUCACAUAAUCCCUCCGCUCCCAGCCCCGGGGAGAGGAUUCAGCACAGACAAAGAUUAAAAGAUGAAGGAGGCUCUCUUCCGAGACAUCGUCCCUGUUUCUACACAGAACAAACUCCAGGGGAAUAAAAAGAGACAGAACAGUAAAAGGUGGGGACUUUUAAACUGGGGGGGAAAGGGGAGGGGUUGUAGAAUUACAACCAAUGGGAUGAGACCGAAGGGGUGGGGCGAGGGGAAGGAACCAACAUCACAAACCUUGGGGGGAGCACAGGGAAAAUUUUUUUUUUUUUUGUCUUUGUGGUGCAAGACAACAACCUUCCACAAUCCCAGGUUGUUCAGAGCCUCAUCCAGCCUGUCCUUGGACACCUCCAGGAUGGCUGCCAGCCACAGGUUCUCUGGGAAACCUGUGCCAGAGCCUCACCACUGUCACAGGGAUCAAUUUUUUCCCAAUAUCCAAUCUAACCCUGCUCUCUGUCAGUGUGAAGCCAUUUCCCCUUGUCCUGUCACUCCAGGCCCUUGUCAAGAGUCUCUCUCCAUCUUUCCUGUGGGUUCCCUUCAGGCACUGCAAGGCCACAGUGAGGUCACCCCAAAGCCUUCCCUUCUCCAGGCUGAGCAAUCCCAAUUGUUCCCUCAGCCUUUCCUCCCAGCAGAGCUGCUCCAUCCCUCUGAUGCCCUUGGUGUCCCUGCUGUGGCCUGGCUGCAGCAGCUCCCUGUCCUUCCUGUGCUGGGCCCAGGGCUGGAUGCAGCCCUGCAGGGGGGGCUCAGCAGAGCCGGGCAGAGGGGCAGAAUUCCCCUCCCCUGCCGCCCUGGGGCUCUGGGUGCAGCCCAGAAAUUUCUCUCUUUCCUCCUCGGGAAGACUUUUGGAAGUUUUCCAGCUUGUCUUACUGUCCCUCAGGGCACUGAGUGUGUUUUCAUCUGCAUAUGAAAAUAUGUCCAUGCACUCCAACUCUUGUCCUGAAUAUCACAAAGGUAAAUAUCAGUAUUUUCUCUCAAGUUUUUGUGCAAACAUAGAUGCUGGCAGCUCAAAACUAAAUACAUUUUUGGUAUGCACAUGCUUUUUCAUUUGGAGAAAUGGCAUACAUAAGAUUAAUCAUGCCCAGAAUUAUUGAUUAUUAAUUAUAAACAAGUCUUGAGUAGAUAAACCUAAAUGCAGUCUUACAUGAGGACAGGGAAAUCCCACCCACUGCAACUGUGCAUUAAAAAAUAAGAAUCUUACAAACUGUACUGUGCUGCUUAUAGGAAAUAAUCCUCCUCAUUAAAAAAGAAAUUAAAUUUCCUUAGUUUGCAACACUGCAAUUUGCUACUACUGUUACAUUAACUGAUGUUCCUAGAUGUGAAGUCUUCCUUUAAAUGGAAAGCAUGAGGGCGGAAAAAAAAAUGUUUUAGUGACAUAUUCCUACAGGAAAAGCCUUUAAUGCUUAAUUUUUCCAGUUAAUAGUUAUAGUUCUAAUGAGGUUCCUUUGGAACUUUUUGGAAAUUUUUGAUAAAAUAAAAAGAAUUGUUCUUAAUGUGCUUUCUUUAAA